RNAcentral lists this ribosomal RNA (253 nucleotides) under uncultured bacterium. RNAcentral's name for it is "partial 16S ribosomal RNA". It matches the Rfam family "Bacterial small subunit ribosomal RNA", at positions 524 to 776 of the family's 1533-position model. The record is from RNAcentral.
UACGGAGGGUGCAAGCGUUGUCCGGAUUUAUUGGGCGUAAAGAGCGUGUAGGCGGCCAGGUAGGUCUGCUGUGAAAACUCGAGGCUCAACCUCGAGACGUCGGCGGAAACCAUCUGGCUAGAGUCCGGAAGAGGAGAGUGGAAUUCCUGGUGUAGCGGUGAAAUGCGCAGAUAUCAGGAAGAACACCCGUGGCGAAGGCGGCUCUCUGGGACGGUACUGACGCUGAGGCACGAAGGCCAGGGGAGCAAACGGG